RNAcentral lists this small nucleolar RNA (88 nucleotides) under Erinaceus europaeus (western European hedgehog). RNAcentral's name for it is "Small nucleolar RNA SNORD116". It matches the Rfam family "Small nucleolar RNA SNORD116". Rfam says of the family: HBII-85 is a member of the C/D class of snoRNAs, which contain the C (UGAUGA) and D (CUGA) box motifs. HBII-85 is encoded in a tandemly repeated array with another C/D snoRNA, HBII-52, in the Prader-Willi syndrome (PWS) region of chromosome 15. The record is from Rfam by way of RNAcentral. Lineage: Eukaryota; Metazoa; Chordata; Mammalia; Eulipotyphla; Erinaceidae.
AACUCAAUGAUGAGUUCACUCAAAAGCAUUCCUUAGAAAGCUGAACAAAAUGAGUGAGAACUCACAAAAAAAAUAAAUAAAUAGAAAU